RNAcentral lists this ribosomal RNA (481 nucleotides) under uncultured bacterium. Its description in RNAcentral is "partial 16S ribosomal RNA". It matches the Rfam family "Bacterial small subunit ribosomal RNA", at positions 28 to 507 of the family's 1533-position model. The record is from RNAcentral.
GAUGGACGCUGGCGGCGUGCUUAACACAUGCAAGUCGAACGAAACACCUUAUUUGAUUUUCUUCGGAACUGAAGAUUUGGUGAUUGAGUGGCGGACGGGUGAGUAACGCGUGGGUAACCUGCCCUGUACAGGGGGAUAACAGUCAGAAAUGACUGCUAAUACCGCAUAAGACCACAGCACCGCAUGGUGCAGGGGUAAAAACUCCGGUGGUACAGGAUGGACCCGCGUCUGAUUAGCUGGUUGGUGAGGUAACGGCUCACCAAGGCGACGAUCAGUAGCCGGCUUGAGAGAGUGAACGGCCACAUUGGGACUGAGACACGGCCCAAACUCCUACGGGGGGCAGCAGUGGGGAAUAUUGCACAAUGGGGGAAACCCUGAUGCAGCGACGCCGCGUGAGUGAAGAAGUAUUUCGGUAUGUAAAGCUCUAUCAGCAGGGAAGAAAAUGACGGUACCUGACGAAGAAGCCCCGGCUAACUACGUG